This 241-nucleotide long non-coding RNA is filed under the name Dasypus novemcinctus (nine-banded armadillo). RNAcentral's name for it is "lncRNA (ENSDNOG00000049933.1)". Lineage: Eukaryota; Metazoa; Chordata; Mammalia; Cingulata; Dasypodidae. The record is from RNAcentral.
CAGCACCCCCUGCCACCUCCCUCCUCCUCCAGCUUCACCCGCUUCCCCGGCGGCGUGGAGAAGAGCAAAGUUGGCGACAGCGGCCGGGGGCUCUGCCCAGGGUCGGCGUGGCGGAGGACAGCUAGUCUCGGAGGGAAAGUAGCCACCAGUCCAACUCGGGUCGCCCCCACUAUUACUUAGGUGAGGCAGCAGUGCUAAGAAGGGGAUACUAAUGGGCAAGGGAUCGAAUAUAAGGGAGGGG